UACGUAGGCAGCAAGCGUUGUUCGGAGUUACUGGGCGUAAAGGGUGUGUAGGCGGUCCCCUAAGUUUGGUGUGAAAUCUCCCGGCUCAACUGGGAGGGUGCGCCGAAAACUGGAGGGCUAGAGUACUGGAUGGGAGAGUGGAAUUCCUGGUGUAGCGGUGAAAUGCGUAGAUAUCAGGAGGAACACCUGCGGUGUAGACGGCUCUCUGGACAGUAACUGACGCUGAGACACGAAAGCGUGGGUAGCAAACAGG
Molecule: ribosomal RNA, 253 nt
Filed under: uncultured bacterium
Lineage: Bacteria
Description: partial 16S ribosomal RNA
Rfam family: Bacterial small subunit ribosomal RNA
Source: RNAcentral